UACGAAGGGGGCUAGCGUUGCUCGGAAUCACUGGGCGUAAAGCGCACGUAGGCGGCUCCUUAAGUCAGGGGUGAAAUCCUGGAGCUCAACUCCAGAACUGCCUUUGAUACUGAGGAGCUUGAGUCCGGGAGAGGUGAGUGGAACUGCGAGUGUAGAGGUGAAAUUCGUAGAUAUUCGCAAGAACACCAGUGGCGAAGGCGGCUCACUGGCCCGGUACUGACGCUGAGGUGCGAAAGCGUGGGGAGCGAACAGG
RNAcentral lists this ribosomal RNA (253 nucleotides) under uncultured bacterium. RNAcentral's name for it is "partial 16S ribosomal RNA". It matches the Rfam family "Bacterial small subunit ribosomal RNA", at positions 524 to 776 of the family's 1533-position model. The record is from RNAcentral.